Molecule: ribosomal RNA, 497 nt
Filed under: uncultured bacterium
Lineage: Bacteria
Description: partial 16S ribosomal RNA
Rfam family: Bacterial small subunit ribosomal RNA
Source: RNAcentral
GAUGAACGCUGGCGGCGUGCCUAAUACAUGCAAGUCGAGCGAACAGACGCGGCUCUUGCUCCUCUGACGUUAGCCGCGGACGUGUGAGUAACACGUGUAUCCCCUCCCUAUCAGACUGGGAUCACUUCGGGAAACCGGCGCUAAUCCCGGAUAAUAUCUUGAACCGCAUGGUUCAAUAGUGGAAGACGGUUUUGCUGUCACUUCUCGAUGGAUCCGCGCUGCAUUAGCUAGUUGGGAAGGUAACGGCUUACCAAGGCAACGAUGCGUAGCCGACCUGAGAGGGUGAUCGGCCACACGGGAACGGAGACACGGUCCAGAGGACUACGGGAGGCAGCAGUAGGGAAUGGUCCGCAAUGGGCGAAAGCCUGACGGAGCAACGCCGCGUGAGUGAUGAAGGUCUUCGGAUCGGAAAACUCUGUUAUUAGGGAAGAACAAAUGUGUAAGGAAAUAUGCACGUCGUGACGGUACCUAAUCAGAAAGCCACGGCUAACUACGUG